AUUGAACGCUGGCUACAGGCUUAACACAUGCAAGUCGAGGGGUAACAAGAGAAAAGCUUGCUUUUCUUGUUGACGACCGGCGCACGGGUGAGUAACGCGUAUCCAACCUGCCCAUAACUAGGGAAUAACCUUGCGAAAGUAAGACUAAUACCCUAUAAUUUCCUUUGACGGCAUCUGACGAGGAAUAAAGAUUUAUCGGUUAUGGAUGGGGAUGCGUCUGAUUAGCUUGUUGGCGGGGUAACGGCCGACCAAGGCAACGAUCAGUAGGGGUUCUGAGAGAAAGGUCCCCCACAUUGGGACUGAGACACGGUCCAAACUCCUACGGGAGGCAGCAGUGAGGAAUAUUGGUCAAUGGUCGGAAGCCUGAACCAGCCAAGUAGCGUGCAGGAUGACGGCCCUAUGGGUUGUAAACUGCUUUUAUACAGGAAUAAAGUUAGCCACGUGUGGUUAUUUGUAGGUACUGUAUGAAUAAGGACCGGCUAAUUCCGUGCCAGCCGCCGCAGUAA
Molecule: ribosomal RNA, 506 nt
Filed under: uncultured bacterium
Lineage: Bacteria
Description: partial 16S ribosomal RNA
Rfam family: Bacterial small subunit ribosomal RNA
Source: RNAcentral